GUGGGGAAUAUUGGACAAUGGGCGAAAGCCUGAUCCAGCCAUGCCGCGUGUGUGAAGAAGGUCUUCGGAUUGUAAAGCACUUUAUGUUGGGAGGAAGGGCAGUAAGUUAAUACCUUGCUGUUUUGACGUUACCGACAGAAUAAGCACCGGCUAACUUCGUGCCAGCAGCCGCGGUAAUACGAAGGGUGCAAGCGUUAAUCGGAAUUACUGGGCGUAAAGCGCGCGUAGGUGGUUUUGUAAGUUGGAGGUGAAAUCCCAGGGCUCAACCUGGGAACUGCCUACAAAACUGCAUGACUAGAGUACGGUAGAGGGGAGUGGAAUUUCCUGUGUAGCGGUGAAAUGCGUAGAUAUAGGAAGGAACACCAGUGGCGAAGGCGACUACCUGGACUGAUACUGACACUGAGGUGCGAAAGCGUGGGGAGCAAACAGGAUUAGAUACCCGUGUAGUCC
This 450-nucleotide ribosomal RNA is filed under the name uncultured bacterium. RNAcentral describes it as "partial 16S ribosomal RNA". It matches the Rfam family "Bacterial small subunit ribosomal RNA", at positions 354 to 796 of the family's 1533-position model. The record is from RNAcentral.